GUCUCGGAUAGAUCCAAAAACUCCUAGUGAGUAGUGUCCUUGUCAUACGUAUACUAAUGUUAAAGUAGUGAGUAAACUAGACGUUUCCUCCAUCUUCCUCUUGGCUGCGUUCUCCAUAAGCUACACCUACACCUAUUUUGCGAAAGAAACACCUCUCUGUUAAUGGCGGACUGGGGGCCAGUGCUCAUCGGAGUAGUACUCUUCAUCCUGCUGCAACCUGGGCUUCUGUUUCAGAUACCGGGUAACAACCGCACUCUCGAAUUUGGGAGCAUGAAGACUAAUGGAAAGGCGAUUGCUGUUCAUACUCUUAUUUUCUUUACACUCUAUGCUAUUCUCAUUCUCGCUGUUCAUGUUCACAUCUAUACUGGAUGAUCCUGUAACACUACUACAGAUCUGCUACUACCAUUUUCACUAAUCCAAGUUAUAUAAUGGAAAUGUGAGUGGUUUUGCUUAGUGAAGAAGGAGAAGGGGAUAUACUAAACUUGAGGGUUAAAAGCAGGCAUUUGUGUUUUAAAGGGGAAGAAAGGUAUUAAUUGUGUAAGUGGGAUUUUUUGCUUUAUGGAAGUAGACAGAAAACACCAACUUUGUGUUUAAGUUUCCGAUUAUUGAAGAACGCGCAAGCUUUUCUUUUGCCUUUGCUUUUCACAUAAAAUUCAUCAAGGUGGGAGAAACUUUCAAAAAGAUUUGGAAAAAGUAAGGUGGUGCUGGUGCACGUGGAAAGCAGAGAAAAUGCCAAAACUUUGUGCGUUUACAUUAAUGCAAAAUGCUUUAAUUUGGCUUAAAGGAUGAUGUCCGAUUACAUUGCAGUUUAUACUUCAGCUCCUAACUUAGGAAUGUUUAAUUUGUAUUUUGAUCCAUGACAGAUGAAAAGAGCUGCCCACUGUGGAUUUGCCUU
RNA transcript from Solanum pennellii, 895 nucleotides. RefSeq lists it as uncharacterized. Lineage: Eukaryota; Viridiplantae; Streptophyta; Magnoliopsida; Solanales; Solanaceae. The record is from RefSeq and is a predicted model, not a curated record. The transcript is spliced from 2 exons.